Molecule: long non-coding RNA, 1741 nt
Filed under: Triticum aestivum (bread wheat)
Lineage: Eukaryota; Viridiplantae; Streptophyta; Magnoliopsida; Poales; Poaceae
Description: long non-coding RNA (TAES_LNC001553)
Source: RNAcentral
UGGCAUCAUUCAUAAAAAGCUUAUAGACAUAGAUAAUUUCUUAAUCCUGCACUGCUUCUCACCAGUGAGAUUGUAGAUGUGGUAUUUUGAGAAUACCAGUGUAAUUCACUGGUCCAAAAGCUCCAUUUCUUAAUGUGUUUUUGCAGAAUGCUACCAGUAAUGUUUUUCUUUUCCUUAAUGUACAAACAUAUCUACUAGAUAUGAUUUUGGAUCUGAACUUUUCCCUGUCUGCAGCUCACAUUGUGGUAUGGUCAUGGUACAGCAAAAGGAAAAGAUGUUUAAACUUUUUUUGGGCGUCAUACAUGAAAAGUACCUUUAUUUCCAUCGAGCUUAAUUACUAAGAAAAUGUUACCACUAUUUCCUUACUAAUAAACCUAAAUGUUCUGAAAGUUCGGUCUCUUGCUCUCUUUGCUUAUGAAUCGGACACUUUCCCUUUCUUUAGUCCUUACACGGUUCCACCUCGCUUUGACGUCAUACUUUGAUGGUGUUUGUAGGUAUGAAGACUUGAAGAGUGGUCAUAAUGUUACUUAAAGGAGGCCUCAACUUGCACCAAAUACAUGGGCAUGUGCAACAGCAACUUAUGUAGGUGAGUAGGUAUUUAUGCUUAGUUUUGACUUGAGUACAAAAAAGAGCUUGCUGACAUAUACAAGAGAAUAGGCUACCCAUUCUUGAAUUGAAUCAGAUUGGUAGACUAAACCACUGUGGUGUACUCUUCGCUGCUGAGUUAUUACAAUCCAACUGAAAAUAAGGGGAAAACAAACAUGAUCCUGCCAUUUAAAUUAUCUCAUGUUUGUGGAGAAAAGUUGCAUAGUUAGCUAUUGCAAAAUACUAUCAACCCAGUUUUUGUUCAAUAGACGUCCCUUCUUCAAAUGUAGCUUGAACCUGCGCAAGGGCAUGGUAGCAUGCUCAUUCUAUUUUUUUUACUAAGGUGGUUACACUUCCCUACUUUUUGCUAAAAGAGAGUCAAUUUUGUCAUGAGCUAUUGCGGCGUUUCUGUUUACUGAAUUUCGUUUUGCAGUUCCCUUCUCUUGAAUGUUUAUUCAAAUGUGCCUAAUGUUUUUUUAGGUUUCUAAAAACUAAUAAAUGCUGCUCUCAAAUCAGUUAGGAGGCUGAAGGUAGUAGCUUACUGAACUCUCAUUUCCGGAAAAAUUUGGAGAUGUCUUGGUAUGGAGUUUCAUGAUCAACUUGCUCUGGCAUAGUUAGUCUUUCUAGACUAAUUGUUUGUCAGUAUCUAUUCUAUACAUGUGUUUGAUUGGUUGUGCAAACAUGCAUGCAUUGUUCUGUGUGGAAAUUGCUUUAUCCGGUCUGUUCUAUAGCAAUGUUUCCAGUGGCUGUUUAGCACAUAUAUUUAGAUAGUUGCAUACGCAUGCUUGUUUCUGCCAGAAAAUUAUCUUACCUGAUAUGUUUUCAGAUGCUAUUUGGUAUACAUGUUUGUCUUUGUCAUGUUUAUGUUGAGUUGUGGGUUCCAAAGGUAUUUAUGAUGAUCGUUUGCAUGGUGGGUCAUGUCAGCGAUGUGCAUUGCAUAUUCAUGAUUCAAACUCUUUGUUGGGUAUAGAUCUAUAUGAAGUUGUUUUUGAAUGGCCCAUGAUUCGUUUUUUAUUAGUAUUUUAGUUUAAGCAUUUCUCCAGAGAAUCUUGAUAUCCAGCUGUAUAUAUAUCCAGUCAUGUUUUUUUACUCUGACCAAUUUCUUUUUUUGUUUUACAGUUUGUACAAUCUCUAAAGAUGGUGCUCCAUUGUUNNN